UACGAAGGGGGCUAGCGUUGUUCGGAAUUACUGGGCGUAAAGCGCGCGCAGGCGGUCCUUCAAGUCAGAGGUGAAGGCCCAGAGCUCAACUCUGGAACGGCCUUUGAGACUAGAGGACUUGGGUACGGGAGAGGUGAGUGGAAUUCCGAGUGUAGAGGUGAAAUUCGUAGAUAUUCGGAAGAACACCAGUGGCGAAGGCGGCUCACUGGCCCGUUACCGACGCUCAGGCGCGACAGCGUGGGGAGCAAACAGG
RNAcentral lists this ribosomal RNA (253 nucleotides) under uncultured bacterium. Its description in RNAcentral is "partial 16S ribosomal RNA". It matches the Rfam family "Bacterial small subunit ribosomal RNA", at positions 524 to 776 of the family's 1533-position model. The record is from RNAcentral.